GCCAGCGCAGUGGCGCGAGCCUGAGUCCCAUCUACUCGGAAGGCUGAGUUGGGGGAUCACUUGAGCCCUGGAGUUCUGGGCUAUAGUGCGCUAUGCCGAUCGAGUGUCCGAACUAAGGCUGGCAUCAAUAUGGUGAUCUCCCAGGAGCGGGGGACCACCAGGUUGCCUAAGGAGGGGUGUACCGGCCCCGGUCACAAACGGACAAGGUCAAAACUCCAGUGCUGAUCAGUAGUGCGACCGCGCCUGUGAAUAGCCACUGCACUCUAGCCUGGGCAACAUAGCGACACCCUGUCUCUU
Callithrix jacchus (white-tufted-ear marmoset) is the source of this 297-nucleotide unclassified non-coding RNA. It matches the Rfam family "Metazoan signal recognition particle RNA". Rfam says of the family: The signal recognition particle (SRP) is a universally conserved ribonucleoprotein. It is involved in the co-translational targeting of proteins to membranes. The eukaryotic SRP consists of a 300-nucleotide 7S RNA and six proteins: SRPs 72, 68, 54, 19, 14, and 9. Lineage: Eukaryota; Metazoa; Chordata; Mammalia; Primates; Cebidae. The record is from Ensembl.